AAUACCACAACAGAAUCACAAGUGUUGGGUGGGCUUUUUGUUUGUUAGUUUGUUUUUUCUUGUCACAACGAGAAUACAGCCAACUGCAAACUAUCUGCUGAUGGCAGUGGUGAGAACCAGGCUGGCCUCCACACUGAGCUGGAUAUACAAGGCUGAAGAUUAGGGGAGCUCCCUAAGCCCCCUCUCUCCUAAACAAUUAUAACUUAAGUGGAGCUUCUAAGUUGACUCUGAGUUCCCCGAGAGCUGUUGUCAAGAAGCGAUGCCAGAGAACGUCUGCCCACUUCUCCCCAACACCAGUGCUACGGAUGUUAUAAAGCAGCUGUGAGCUCAUUCACCUGAAGACAACUCUUACCUGCAGGAGUGGAAGGCAGAUCAGGACCGCUGGUGGGGGGUUCCAUGGGCCCCGGGUACGGCGGGGGGGGAAGCUGCAUGUAACCCAUAUCUGCACCCCCAACAGGAGGGGGAG
Molecule: non-coding RNA, 466 nt
Organism: Anas platyrhynchos (mallard)
Lineage: Eukaryota; Metazoa; Chordata; Aves; Anseriformes; Anatidae
Source: RefSeq, a predicted model, not a curated record